This is a long non-coding RNA of Brassica napus (rape), 2242 nucleotides long. RefSeq lists it as uncharacterized. Lineage: Eukaryota; Viridiplantae; Streptophyta; Magnoliopsida; Brassicales; Brassicaceae. The record is from RefSeq and is a predicted model, not a curated record. The transcript is spliced from 2 exons.
GUUCCCACAUCAUUGAUGGAUGUUCGAGACUGUUCGGUCGCUACGUAGCGACCAAACAUUCCGUGUGUUCGGUCGCUACGUAGCGUUCAAACAUAUGUCUUGCUCGGUCGCUACGUAGCAACCGAACAUGCUGGUUCGUUUGCUGCGUAACGACCUUGUUUUGAUGUUUACGAGCAUGUUCUCGGUUUAUCGGUUUUUUGUUUCGACGAACAAAUCGUGAUUAGAAUAAGAUUUUUCCGCAAAUUUCAUCGUAAAAAUAAUUUUUACGAAGAUAAUUUCCGUAAAAAAUAUCAAAACAAUUUUUUACGGAUGUUUGUAUGUUAACUUCGUCGUAACCGUUUUUGACCCCAACAAAGUGCAGGAGGGCAUUACCUUUUUUUUGUCACUAGGAGGGCAUUACAAAAACACAUGAUUUAUGGUUUCUUCUUCCGCCCCACAUCGAGCGUAGCAUAAAUCUCCUUGUAUCCCCCUUGCUUGCAAAUUUUUCCUGACAGCAAUGCAGCCUGAUAACAAUUGCCACAUAAAGUGUUUGAUUUUUGGUGGGCACUUUACUUUCCAGAAAAACGCCUUCAAAAUAUCAACGGUGGGUCUGUACGCUGCUUGUAGCACUCUCUGGUCGGGGUAUACUCUCUCCACCUGAUAUCUUGACUUAACCGUAUAUUUCCCAUUUUCUGUGAAAUGUUAUCCAUCCCUAUCCUCCAUUUGAGUCCUGCUCAAUGGUAAACUUUCAAUGAUUUUCACAUCUUGAGCAUCCUCCAAAGCACAAAUUACCUGAGAGUUCCAAGUUCGCGAAACUGGAUCAAUGAGAGAGUCAACUGUGAGAUCCCGGUAUAAAGUAACAUGAAUUUUAUUUGUUGGUCUCGGGCGAGUGGUUGGGAGCCAGAGAUCAUUCCAUACUGAAAUAGAUGAUCAUGAUCUCACCCUUUUAAUUAGUCAUUUGCUAACUAGAGAUCUAGCAGAAACAAUACUCCUCCAGCCAUAUGACGGGGAAUAAGAGCAAAUCGGUUCCAGGGGUGAGGCAUUCCUGAAGUAUUGACCUUUGAAAGCUCUAUAAAAUAGAGUAUUUGGCUUUUCUAUCAGCCUCCAUAACUGUUUACCGAGCAUCACCGUAUUGAAAUCAGUGAUGUCUUUAAAACCUAACCCACCAUCAUUUUUAUUCUCGCAAACCUUGUCCCAAGAUUUCCAGUGCAUACCUCGAGUGCUGCCCCCUGGGCUCCACCAAAACUGUGCUACCGUACUCGUAAUUUUCUUUGCGGUUGUCUUGGGUAAGCGGUAGCAAGACAUCACAUUGUUCAGUAAUGUUGCAACCACUGAUUUAGUAAUUACCUCAUUUCCUCCUUUAGUAAAACAUCUGAAGGUCCAGUCAUUGACCGGAUAACUUAUCCUCGUAGUCCUUUAAUUUUUGUUGCCUCUAUUUUAUGGGCCAUUGAUUAAUUCUAAUUCAAGGGUUAAAACUUUUUUUUUUGUCAAUCUUCAACCUUUUUCCUAUUGGUUAAUUUUUCUUUCUCACAGACCACAGUUUUUAGCCAUUGAUGAACUUUAAUCCAAUGGUCACAAUUAAAUCUCUCUCUUUCUUAUUUAUCUUCUCCUAUACGACGUCUCUCAAAUUGACCAAAAAAAACCUUCGAUAUUGCAGAGAAACAUAUCCAGUCUCUACGCUUUAUCCUUCUUUACCAGUCUCAAUGAUCCUGACUUCUCCUCCGCCACGGCUACUCCCCCCUCCCCCCACGCUGACGGCUCCGAUUCUAUGCUGGAAUUUCGUUGGGAAGUGCAGUGGGACCGGGAUCUUCAAGGUUCCGAUUAGGGCUGCAGUUCAUCCAAAUCGACCUCCCAGUUUCGAGGCCAGACCCCAUCCUCUUAAGCAAAGUCAAAUCAGAUGGUACUUUGAGCUGGACAACUGUGGGGCUUGGAGCUGAGGACGGUGGAUUGAAGAAUGAGACAACGUCAUGAAGAGGAGGAAGAAGAUGCGACAGAUAUGGGACGAGCUUGAGGUGAUGGAUGCGGCGGAGACAAUGAAUCGUCAGAUAUGAAGAAGCUGUGGUGGCAGAAGUUAGAGCCAAGCACGAAGAAGAUAGAGGUGGCGGCAGUAGAUGAUUGAAAAUGGACUUAGGUUUAGAAAUUUAGGUUUAGUUUCUAUUUUUUCAAAAAUUGGUUUAGCUUGGUUUAGUUUGGUUUAGUUUAAUAUACCAAUCCUUAAAUAUGUAAAUAAUAACGAUAUAUAAAAUUUUUGUAAUUUUUUUUA